AUUGAACGCUGGCGGCAGGCCUAACACAUGCAAGUCGAACGAGUGGCGGACGGGUGAAUAGUGUCUGGGACACUGCCUGAUGGAGGGGGAUAACUUCUGAAAACGUUAGCUAAUACCGCAUACCAUCGGAUGUGCCCAGAUGGGCUUAGCUUGUAGGUGGGGUAACGGCUCACCUAGGCGACGAUCCCUAGCUGGUCUGAGAGGAGGACCAGCCACACGGGAACGGAGACACGGUCCAGACUCCUACGGGAGGCAGCAGGGGGGAAGAUUGCACAAUGGGCGCAAGCCUGAUGCAGCCAUGCCGCGUGUAUGAAGAAGGCCUUCGGGUUGUAAAGUACUUUCAGCGGGGAGGCGUUACCCGCAGAAGAAGCACCGGCUAACUCCGUGCCAGCAGCCGCGGUAAUUC
This 406-nucleotide ribosomal RNA is filed under the name uncultured bacterium. RNAcentral describes it as "partial 16S ribosomal RNA". It matches the Rfam family "Bacterial small subunit ribosomal RNA", at positions 30 to 526 of the family's 1533-position model. The record is from RNAcentral.